Long non-coding RNA from Chrysemys picta bellii (western painted turtle), 565 nucleotides. RefSeq lists it as uncharacterized. The record is from RefSeq and is a predicted model, not a curated record. Lineage: Eukaryota; Metazoa; Chordata; Testudines; Emydidae.
CCUUUCACUACUGUCCACUAGGAUUUCAGCAGAUACUCUAUAAGGGCAUGGCUGGGUUUGUUAAAGUCCGGAGAAAGAACUUUCAAGAACCAGCAAAGAAAAUAUGUCAAAACUCCAAAUUCUAAAGAGCUAGCCCAUCUGGGCAGAGCAACAAGAUUCCAAUCAAGAAUGAUGCAGAGAAGCCAUGUAAUGAAAGCCAAGACCAAACUGGGACUCCAUGAUGCAACUGUCAAAAGCCCCAGGAGCCAAGGGCAACUUUCAGACUUGAGAACCUCUGCAAUGAGUCAGAUCUGCUACACUUUAGUAUUGGGCAACCAUCAUGGUGCGAUGAUCUGCUAAGCCUGAAAAUGAAGAUUUAUGCUGGAAAGCCUGGCAGACCCUAAAAUGCAGCAUUGCAAGUCGUGGGAAUGUAAUAAUGUGCCCAUUGGAAAACUGAGAACUGAUCCAAUAGCUCGUGGAUCCAUGUUCGGAAACGGUUGUUGUGUUCCAGGUGAUAAAGAAGCAAAUGGCCAUGAAGCCUUCCAGUCUAAGCACCUGAGAGAAAUCCAGAGCCAAGCAUUUCCUC